This 253-nucleotide ribosomal RNA is filed under the name uncultured bacterium. Its description in RNAcentral is "partial 16S ribosomal RNA". It matches the Rfam family "Bacterial small subunit ribosomal RNA", at positions 524 to 776 of the family's 1533-position model. The record is from RNAcentral.
UACGGAGGGUGCAAGCGUUAUCCGGAUUUACUGGGCUUAAAGGGUGCGUAGGUGGGUAAGUAAGUCAGUGGUGAAAUCUCCGGGCUUAACCCGGAAACUGCCAUUGAUACUAUUUGUCUUGAAUACUGUGGAGGUCAGCGGAAUAUGUCAUGUAGCGGUGAAAUGCUUAGAUAUGACAUAGAACACCAAUUGCGAAGGCAGCUGGCUGCACAAAUAUUGACACUGAGGCACGAAAGCGUGGGGAUCAAACAGG